RNAcentral lists this ribosomal RNA (397 nucleotides) under uncultured bacterium. RNAcentral describes it as "partial 16S ribosomal RNA". It matches the Rfam family "Bacterial small subunit ribosomal RNA", at positions 523 to 918 of the family's 1533-position model. The record is from RNAcentral.
AUACGUAGGAGGCGAGCGUUGUCCGGAAUGAUUGGGCGUAAAGGGCGCGUAGGCGGCCCGGUAAGUCUGGAGUGAAAGUCCUGUUUUUAAGAUGGGAAUUGCUUUGGAUACUGUCGGGCUUGAGUGCAGGAGAGGUAAGUGGAAUUCCCAGUGUAGCGGUGAAAUGCGUAGAGAUUGGGGGGAACACCAGUGGCGAAGGCGACUUACUGGACUGUAACUGACGCUGAGGCGCGAAAGUGUGGGGAGCAAACAGGAUUAGAUACCCUGGUAGUCCACACUGUAAACGAUGAAUGCUAGGUGUAGGGGGUAUCGACCCCUUCUGUGCCGCAGUCAACACAAUAAGCAUUCCGCCUGGGGAGUACGGCCGCAAGGUUGAAACUCAAAGGAAUCGACGGGG